GUGAACGCUGGCGGCAGGCCUAACACAUGCAAGUCGCGCGGCAGCGCGGGGGCCACCCUGGCGGCGAGCGGCGGACGGGUGAGGAAUUCGUCGGAAUCUGCCUUUUUGUGGGGGAUAACGUAGGGAAACUUACGCUAAUACCGCAUACGUCCUACGGGAGAAAGUGGGGGACCGCAAGGCCUCACGCAGAAAGAUGAGCCGACGACCGAUUAGCUAGUUGGUGGGGUAAAGGCCCACCAAGGCGACGAUCGGUAGCUGGUCUGAGAGGAUGAUCAGCCACACUGGGACUGAGACACGGCCCAGACUCCUACGGGAGGCAGCAGUGGGGAAUAUUGGACAAUGGGCGCAAGCCUGAUCCGGCCAUGCCGCGUGUGUGAAGAAGGCCUUCGGGUUGUAAAGCACUUUUGUCCGGAAAGAAAUCCCUGGAGCUAAUACCUUCGGGGGAUGACGGUACCGGAAGAAUGAGCACCGGCUAACUUCGUG
RNAcentral lists this ribosomal RNA (483 nucleotides) under uncultured bacterium. RNAcentral describes it as "partial 16S ribosomal RNA". It matches the Rfam family "Bacterial small subunit ribosomal RNA", at positions 30 to 507 of the family's 1533-position model. The record is from RNAcentral.